This 301-nucleotide ribosomal RNA is filed under the name uncultured bacterium. RNAcentral describes it as "partial 16S ribosomal RNA". It matches the Rfam family "Bacterial small subunit ribosomal RNA", at positions 509 to 807 of the family's 1533-position model. The record is from RNAcentral.
CAGUCGCCGCGGGAAUACAGAGGAUGCAAGCGUUAUCCGGAAUGAUUGGGCGUAAAGGGCUCGCAGGCGGUUUCUUAAGUCUGAUGUGAAAGCCCCCGGCUCAACCGGGGAGGGUCAUUGGAAACUGGGAAACUUGAGCGCAGAAGAGGAGAGUGGAAUUCCACGUGUAGCGGUGAAAUGCGUAGAGAUGUGGAGGAACACCAGUGGCGAAGGCGACUCUCUGGUCUGUAACUGACGCUGAGGAGCGAAAGCGUGGGGAGCGAACAGGAUUAGAUACCCCCGUAGUCCCUGUCUCUUAUAC